Phlebotomus papatasi is the source of this 74-nucleotide non-coding RNA. The record is from Rfam. NCBI's taxonomy places the organism in Eukaryota, Metazoa, Arthropoda, Insecta, Diptera, Psychodidae.
GCUCCCAUAGCUCAGUUGGUAGAGCAUUCGCCUAGACAAGAGAAAGGCCCCCAGUUCAAGCCUGGAUGGAGGCA